RNAcentral lists this long non-coding RNA (209 nucleotides) under Elaeis guineensis (African oil palm). RNAcentral describes it as "long non-coding RNA (EGUI_LNC053986)". The record is from RNAcentral. Lineage: Eukaryota; Viridiplantae; Streptophyta; Magnoliopsida; Arecales; Arecaceae.
GCGCCAUAAUUUUUGAUGCCAUCUUUCUCCAUGCAUAAAUAGUUUUUGCAUGAGAAUUUUUCAUGCCAAAGAGUCCUUUCUCUUCUCUAUCUCACAUCCAAAUUUGGGUAGGAUCUGAUUUCAUCAUGGAAAAAGUAAAAGAAGGGGCAUCAUAUAUUUCUUUUGGGCAUGGGAAUUGAGAGGAGGCAACAAAAGGCAAGUAAGAAUCC